UACGGGGGGGGCAAGCGUUGUUCGGAAUUACUGGGCGUAAAGGGCUCGUAGGCGGCCAACUAAGUCAGACGUGAAAUCCCUCGGCUUAACCGGGGAACUGCGUCUGAUACUGGAUGGCUAGAGUGUGGGAGAGGGAUGCGGAAUUCCAGGUGUAGCGGUGAAAUGCGUAGAUAUCAGGAGGAAUACCGAUGGCGAAGGCAGGUCUCUGGGCUGACACUGACGCUCAUGCACGAAAGCGUGGGGAGCAAACAGG
RNAcentral lists this ribosomal RNA (253 nucleotides) under uncultured bacterium. RNAcentral describes it as "partial 16S ribosomal RNA". It matches the Rfam family "Bacterial small subunit ribosomal RNA", at positions 524 to 776 of the family's 1533-position model. The record is from RNAcentral.